ACACGGGGAGAACGUGCAAACUCCACACAGUCAGUCGCCUGAGGUGGGAAUUGAACCCGGGUCUCUGGCGCUGUGAGGCAGCAGUGCUAACCACUGUGCCACCGAGUCUUAACAUUUUGGGUGCUAACUACAAAGGUUAUAACAAUAAGCAAUCCAUAAUUAUUUUAAUUGCAUAAAAUAUAGAAACUAUUAUUUACAGUGUAAGUGACAUUGAUUCAGGACACAAUAAUAGUAUCUGUGAUGUCCUGCAGUUGCACAUUCUGCUAAAAUUCACUCAGUGACAUCAUAGGUUAAGUACCAAAGGACUUCAUUUGCCUAGGGAAUAAUUUCAGAAAUUACAAUUUUGUAAAGGGAAGUGAAGAAUGCCAAAUGUUAUGCCCUGGUUUAUAUUACAAUGUAAGUUUCUGUUCAAUAAUACAUUACAUCUAAAACUUGUGGAAAUCUUACUGUAGUAGUACUGUUGAUAUAUAUCAUUGUAAAUUACUUGCACAGAUAAGAAUUAUUUGUUGAAGAGCCAUUGUGUGUUGUUAAAUGUUGUGUAACAAUGUUCAUGGCCACUACCAGUAGACUACAGAUAAGUAUAUUAAGCAGACAAAAAGUGUCAGUCCUGGUAACUAC
Molecule: non-coding RNA, 618 nt
Organism: Chiloscyllium plagiosum (whitespotted bambooshark)
Lineage: Eukaryota; Metazoa; Chordata; Chondrichthyes; Orectolobiformes; Hemiscylliidae
Source: RefSeq, a predicted model, not a curated record